CCUGGUGGCGAGUGGCGAACGGGUGAGUAAUACAUCGGAACAUGUCCUGUAGUGGGGGAUAGCCCGGCGAAAGCCGGAUUAAUACCGCAUACGAUCUACGGAUGAAAGCGGGGGACCUUCGGGCCUCGCGCUAUAGGGUUGGCCGAUGGCUGAUUAGCUAGUUGGUGGGGUAAAGGCCUACCAAGGCGACGAUCAGUAGCUGGUCUGAGAGGACGACCAGCCACACUGGGACUGAGACACGGCCCAGACUCCUACGGGAGGCAGCAGUGGGGAAUUUUGGACAAUGGGCGAAAGCCUGAUCCAGCAAUGCCGCGUGUGUGAAGAAGGCCUUCGGGUUGUAAAGCACUUUUGUCCGGAAAGAAAUCCUUGGCUCUAAUACAGUCGGGGGAUGACGGUACCGGAAGAAUAAGCACCGGCUAACUACGUGCCAGCAGCCGCGGUAAUACGUAGGGUGCGAGCGUUAAUCGGAAUUACUGGGUGUAAAGCG
This 487-nucleotide ribosomal RNA is filed under the name Burkholderia sp. Its description in RNAcentral is "bacterial SSU rRNA". It matches the Rfam family "Bacterial small subunit ribosomal RNA", at positions 84 to 567 of the family's 1533-position model. Lineage: Bacteria; Pseudomonadati; Pseudomonadota; Betaproteobacteria; Burkholderiales; Burkholderiaceae. The record is from RNAcentral.